GACGAACGCUGGCGGCGUGCUUAGCACAUGCAAGUCGAACGGAAAGGCCCUGCUUUUGUGGGGUGCUCGAGUGGCGAACGGGUGAGUAACACGUGAGUAACCUGCCCUUGACUUUGGGAUAACUUCAGGAAACUGGGGCUAAUACCGGAUAGGAGCUCCUGCUGCAUGGUGGGGGUUGGAAAGUUUCGGCGGUUGGGAAUGGACUCGCGGCUUAUCAGCUUGUUGGUGGGGUAGUGGCUUACCAAGGCUUUGACGGGUAGCCGGCCUGAGAGGGUGACCGGCCACAUUGGGACUGAGAUACGGCCCAGACUCCUACGGGAGGCAGCAGUGGGGAAUAUUGCACAAUGGGCGGAAGCCUGAUGCAGCAACGCCGCGUGCGGGAUGACGGCCUUCGGGUUGUAAACCGCUUUCGCCUGUGACGAAGCGUGAGUGACGGUAAUGGGUAAAGAAGCACCGGCUAACUACG
RNAcentral lists this ribosomal RNA (466 nucleotides) under uncultured bacterium. Its description in RNAcentral is "partial 16S ribosomal RNA". It matches the Rfam family "Bacterial small subunit ribosomal RNA", at positions 28 to 505 of the family's 1533-position model. The record is from RNAcentral.